Long non-coding RNA from Hibiscus syriacus, 1430 nucleotides. RefSeq lists it as uncharacterized. The record is from RefSeq and is a predicted model, not a curated record. The transcript has 4 exons. Lineage: Eukaryota; Viridiplantae; Streptophyta; Magnoliopsida; Malvales; Malvaceae.
GUCUGUCUCCGACCUUCCCCCCCCCCCCCCUCUUUCUGAAACAAAGCUGAGAAAAUAAAACCCUAAAACGAAAAUGGUUCAAAGGCUCACCUACCGCACUCGCCAUAGCUAUGCUACCAAAUCGAAUCAACACCGUGUCGUUUAGACCCCCGGUGGGAAAUUGGUUUAUCAGACUACUAAGAAGAGAGCAAGUGGGCCAAAGUGUCCUGUCACUGGAAAGCGAAUUCAGGGUAUUCCUCACCUGCUGAACACAAGCAGUCUCUUUUGCCUCGUAACCGAAGGACUGUGAAUCGUUCCUAUGGCGGAGUUUUGUCAGGCAGCGCCGUUAGAGAAAGGAUCAUUCGAGCCUUCUUGGUCGAAGAGCAAAAGAUUGUGAAGAAGGUUCUGAAAAUCCAGAAGGAAAAGGAAAAGCAGUCCUCUAAGAGCUAGAUUUUCCUUCCAGAAAUUGUUUUUGCUAUACUGGUGAUUGAUGAAAUGUGGAACUGAAUUUCAGCAUUUUUCCCAUUAGGAAGUUUCAUACCGAUUAGUACGCUGCUCGCUCACUUGACUACGAAUCGAUUUUGAAGUUAUUGGUUUUAUUUUGAUCCUUGAAACUACUGUAUUGCUGGUGUUGCCCUCCAAAAUCGGCCUUGGUGAUGUCGGCAAUCAUCGGAGGACUCAUCAGCAUGGAAGAGGCUUCAAGGGUGCACUUGGUGGACGAACCAGACAUCAACAUCAAGUUGUUUUGAAGGUCUGCAUUGGAUACAUGAAAUGGAGAUGGCCUGUAGACUGUCUGAUGGAACGAUUUAUUCGAAGGAACAUCUAGACCCGAAAAACCGGCGGUGCAGCCUUGUUGAAGUUCACAGGUGUCGUCUAACGGCACCAUUGAUCUGAUUUCGGUUGUGCAAGAAACGUUCUCCGAUCCGAACCGAGUGCAAGAGGUCCAAGUGUGGGACAUAGCUCUUUGUGCCAUGUGACUCGUCUUUUCAAAUAUCCUACCAAAUAGCCCAUGCAUCCUGUAGGAAACAAGACCAAUCAAACAGUUAAUAAUCAAACAACAUACAAAAAUCAUGAGUAAAGGGAGUCAUUACAUUUUCAGGAAGGGUUCCGACUACGAGUUUCUUCGAUGUCGGUGUUGAGUCCGAUGUCGAAGGUAGCUAGAAUUCAUGCAUCAUCCAAUCGGUUUACAUCCCUUUAGCAGCUCUGCCUCUAUAGAACACAAGAGACUUCUUCAAACCAAUACAGUCGAUGCCAUCAGAUGAGUAGAUACGCUUAUCUGUUCCGGUAGCCUUCCGAAGCCCGGCUCCGGUGACUCGGUUCGGCCUUGCAUUGUUUCAAUAUUUCUGGUCCCUCGGACAGUAGAAAUACCACUCUUUCUCCCCCGACAGCCAGCUGUGCUCAUACAAAGAAAAAUAAGCAACAUCAAACUAGAAAAAAAUCAACGUCUUAUA